Non-coding RNA from Macaca mulatta (Rhesus monkey), 1081 nucleotides. NCBI's taxonomy places the organism in Eukaryota, Metazoa, Chordata, Mammalia, Primates, Cercopithecidae. The record is from RefSeq and is a predicted model, not a curated record.
CGCGCCUCAGCCCUGUAGGAGCCUCCAGCACCGUGGCGCCUGCCUCAAGUGCACCCGCCUUGCGGGACCCGCUCCAGGGCAACCUCGGACUUGGACCCCAAACCCAGGCCUCACUUCUCCGGGCGCUAAAAGACACUGCUCCGGAAGAGCCUCCUGGACUGAAGCCGCCUGGAUUGGCAGCUUUUACGGAACUUAACCAACUGCUUACUUAACACUCUUGCUCUUUCUACGUUUAAAAGAAUAAUACUGGACCCCGAGACUUAAACCUUCAGCUUUGGGGAGCAACACAGAUGAAUGUCUCACAAACAUAAUGUUGAGCGAAGAAGCCGGACACCGAGGGGUACAUACUGUAUGAUUUCAGCACACAAAGUUCAAAAACUGUGGUGCUUAUGAACGUAGGCUCAGCUGGUAUAUUACAAAUAAACAGAAGAAAGUAAUAACCAUAGAAGUCCAGAGAGUAGCCAUCUUGGGAGUGGGACGGUGAUGGCAACUAAAAAAUGAUGUGGGAGAAUGGCAGAUAAAAUGUACUGGAGUUUGUUGUCAUGAAGAGUCAAAAUAAGAAAUAAACGUUCUAGAGAUCCUCCGUAAGAUCUGUCCUGGAAGAGGGCAACGUGUUUCCCGGAAGUCCAAGAUGAAAGUCUUGUGCUGCACAGUUCCCUAGAGAGGGGCCUCUGAACAGCCUUGCUUUGGAGACUGAUGCAUCCUCAGGCCUCCAGAAGGAAGCUCCUGCUCUAGAGACAGACAAAGCCAGGGUGGGACACACAGCUUUACCAUGUGGACCAGUUGCUUUUCCUCUCUGCGUUUCUGCAUGUUCGUCUAUAAAAUGGAGAUCAUAAUCCAACCUCUAAGGUCUGUUAUUUCACUCCCUAACACAAUAUGUUCAAAAAUGGUUGCUGAAUGCUGUCAAGAUGAGAAGCAUUCUACAGAAGAAGAUCUGCCAACCCUGCGAUGUUACUGCAUUUACAUCACAUCUCACUGCCCUGUGAGCACUCUGCAUGGGCAGCCCCUUCAGGCCAGGAGUAAAUUACUUUUCCCUCCUAAUCAAAAUAAUAAGCAAGCAGCCAAAGUGCUUGUGAAGUGA